RNAcentral lists this ribosomal RNA (484 nucleotides) under uncultured bacterium. RNAcentral's name for it is "partial 16S rRNA". The record is from RNAcentral.
GCACGUAGUUAGCCGGUGCUUCUUCUUCGGGUACCGUCAUUAGUCCGUGGUAUUAGCACGAACCGUUUCGUCCCCACCGAAAGAGCUUUACAACCCGAAGGCCUUCUUCACUCACGCGGCAUGGCUGGAUCAGGCUUGCGCCCAUUGUCCAAAAUUCCCCACUGCUGCCUCCCGUAGGAGUCUGGACCGUGUCUCAGUUCCAGUGUGGCUGAUCGUCCUCUCAGACCAGCUACGGAUCGUAGCCUUGGUGGGCUUUUACCCCGCCAACUAGCUAAUCCGACAUCGGCCACUCCAAUAGUGCGAAGCCUUGCGGUCCUCCGCUUUCCCCCGUAGGGCGUAUGCGGUAUUAGCCUAUCUUUCGACAGGUUAUCCCCCGCUACUGGAAAUGUUCCGAUGUAUUACUCACCCGUUCGCCACUCUACUUGCGGGUUGCCCCGCUUUCGCGUUCGACUUGCAUGUGUAAGGCAUGCCGCCAGCGUUCAAU